This 305-nucleotide ribosomal RNA is filed under the name uncultured bacterium. RNAcentral's name for it is "partial 16S ribosomal RNA". It matches the Rfam family "Bacterial small subunit ribosomal RNA", at positions 508 to 807 of the family's 1533-position model. The record is from RNAcentral.
ACAGCAGUAGCCGCGGGAAUACGAAGGGGGCUAGCGUUGCUCGGAAUGACUGGGCGUAAAGGGCGCGUAGGCGGAUUGUUUAGUUAGGCGUGAAAUUCCUGGGCUUAACCUGGGGACUGCGCUUAAUACAGGCAGUCUAGAGUGAGGAAGAGGGUUGUGGAAUUCCCAGUGUAGAGGUGAAAUUCGUAGAUAUUGGGAAGAACACCGGUGGCGAAGGCGGCAACCUGGUCCUUGACUGACGCUGAGGCGCGAAAGCGUGGGGAGCAAACAGGAUUAGAUACCCGUGUAGUCCCUGUCUCUUAUAC